AUUGAACGCUGGCGGCAGGCCUAACACAUGCAAGUCGAGCGGAUGAAGGGAGCUUGCUCCUGGAUUCAGCGGCGGACGGGUGAGUAAUGCCUAGGAAUCUGCCUGGUAGUGGGGGAUAACGUCCGGAAACGGGCGCUAAUACCGCAUACGUCCUGAGGGAGAAAGUGGGGGAUCUUCGGACCUCACGCUAUCAGAUGAGCCUAGGUCGGAUUAGCUAGUUGGUGGGGUAAAGGCCUACCAAGGCGACGAUCCGUAACUGGUCUGAGAGGAUGAUCAGUCACACUGGAACUGGAAAACGGUCCAGACUCCUACGGGAGGCAGCAGUGGGGAAUAUUGGACAAUGGGCGAAAGCCUGAUCCAGCCAUGCCGCGUGUGUGAAGAAGGUCUUCGGAUUGUAAAGCACUUUAAGUUGGGAGGAAGGGCAGUAAGUUAAUACCUUGCUGUUUUGACGUUACCAACAGAAUAAGCACCGGCUAACUUCGUG
This 484-nucleotide ribosomal RNA is filed under the name uncultured bacterium. Its description in RNAcentral is "partial 16S ribosomal RNA". It matches the Rfam family "Bacterial small subunit ribosomal RNA", at positions 30 to 507 of the family's 1533-position model. The record is from RNAcentral.